AACUGGGAUUAGAUACCCCACUAUGCCUGGCCAUAAACACUGAUAUGAUCUUACACGCAUUAUCCGCCUGGGUACUACGAGCGCUAGCUUAAAACCCAAAGGACUUGGCGGUGCUUUAGACCCACCUAGAGGAGCCUGUUCUA
Molecule: ribosomal RNA, 143 nt
Filed under: Mullus surmuletus (striped red mullet)
Lineage: Eukaryota; Metazoa; Chordata; Actinopteri; Syngnathiformes; Mullidae
Description: partial small subunit ribosomal RNA
Rfam family: Bacterial small subunit ribosomal RNA
Source: RNAcentral